CACUCAGUUAAAAUCCACACAUUGUCAGGACUGUGUUCCUUUCUGCAGGCUCUGGGGGAGAAUCUGUCUCCCUGCCUCUCAAACUUCUAGAGGCUGCCUGCAUUCCUUGGCUUGUGGCCCCUUCCUCCAUCUGCAAACACUGCAUCUCUUUGACCCAUCUUCUAAUGUCAUAUCUUUCUCUGACUGCAGCUGGGAAAGGUUCUCUGCUUUUAGGGACUCAUGUGAUUAGACUGGGCCCACCAGGAUCAUCCAGGAUAUCCUCCCAUCUCAACGUCUAUAACCUUUAGCUGCAAAGUCCCUUUUGUGAUGGCAAAAUAUACACAACAUCUUUGGGAGGCACUAUUCUGCAGACCACAGGCCCUUUGCAUGCAUUGUUUGCUACACCCAGAAUGCUCUUCCACCCCCUCUUCUCCCGGCCGACUCCUUUAGGCCAAAGGACACAUCUUAAGAGAGAAACCUGCCCCCCCAACCCCCCACCGCUGGAAAAGCCGUUUUAAAUUAGACCCUCCUCGUUACCAUGGCUCCUGUUUCUUUCCCUCACUUUCUUUCCCUCACUUCCUUUCCCUCACAGCACUUCCAAAUUAAUCAGAUAAAUUUGUCUAAUUACUAGUUGAUUGUUCCAUUUGACUGCAAGCUCUGUAAGAACAGGAACCAUACCGAUUUUGCUGUGUACUGUUAACAGUGUUGGCCACAUGGUAGAUUAGACACUCUAUAAAUACUUAAUGAAUGAAACUGGCUCUAAACUUUAAGCUCAGGCUUGCCUCCUCCAGGACAAAUCCUGACCAGAGGAGGACAGGGUUUGCUUCUCUUCUGCUUCCUGUUGGAUCUGCAGGAACCCCCGCCCCGCCCAGUGCCUGGUCCUCUCCCCCAUAUACUCAAUGCCUGAUGGUGAAUGAACAAACGGACACGUCUCUCCGAUCUGGAUCUCCCAGGACCGCCCGUGGAUCGCUGCCCUCCUCCACAUUGGAGCUCCUGGGUGCAGACUGCUCUGCUGACCGACCCUGGACCCUCUGGAGGCCAUGUCUGGACGUCCUCUUUCCAUUUCCAGUCCAGUCCCCUUGCCUCUAUUCCACACUACAGGAAUUUUAUCUCUGAUGCCAAUUUUGGGAUUAAUACUCGUCUCAGAAAUUGGCACAAGUCCAGAGAGAACAUAGGAUUUAGUCAAACCAUAUUUACUGAGCACCUAAUCUGUCCCAGGUCUUAUACUGAAAGUUGUUCAAAACUGAGCAACCACAGAAACCACCGUUGAGAGCUCACAAAAUGGCAAAGACACAAAUAACCACCAAAGAAUGAUACAGGCCCCAAUUCUGCUGCCACAGCUAUGCGACGGGGGUUGGGCUGCAGGGGAAAGAAAAGACAGAAGUGUCCAGUUGUUUCUCCACCAGACCAUCCUACUAAGGGCAGAACUCAUCACCAGCUGCCCCUCUGGCUCAGGUGGAGGGGAGGCAGGGAGAGCCGGUGGAAAAGGUUUGGGGUGGAAGCAAGAAGUGUGAACAAGAUUUUACUUCUCAUUUAAGUGUAGUUACCGUCUAAUUCCAGCAAGGCAGAGGCUCAGGCUCUGAAAAGCCUUUAGAAACGGGAAGGACUGUUCUCCAAACAGGCACUCAUCCUCAAGUGAGGAUCCACCUGGCCGACUUCAUGGAAGGGCCCCAAGGAUGAACGAAGGCAGCGUCAGCAGGCCUCUGGAGCAGGGACAGAGCUGCCCAACUAGGAGGGAGGACACAGCCCCCUUGGGCCCUACUUCUCAGAGACUCUUUCUCAGACGCCAAAGCGCUCAGUUGGGAAAAUUGCAAAAUAAUAGUAAAAAGAUUUUCAAGUUGGAAAGUGCAGCCCUGAAGUUGAUAGGCACCAGGCAGGCCAUGAAGUUCCAUCAACUGCCAGCUGAGAUGCGAGACCCCGGGGGCAGCCAGAGGACCAGCAGGCAGGUGACACACAGAUGAAAUGUGUCAUCUAUCUCGUUGGCCUUGCUCACCCAUGGAAUCCCAUCAGAGGGCUCAUGGGAAGACAUGGUGGGGCUCGCGACAUACCUCCAACUUGCUAGCUCACGUUAGUCCUUUACUUGGGCCCUUGGUUGUGGCUGACACAGAGUUUUACUAAUGCACAGUGAUCUGCCAAACCAUUUUGGCUGUGUUUUUCUGGAAGCCAGAGAGAAGAACGCUAUAAAAAAUAACAAGCUAAGCAGAAUGCCCUGCCUGUCUCCCCGAGGGGCCACCAGCUAUUUCCCAUGAAAAUAAAGAACAGGGAAGAAUUAAGAGCGGGGAGGGGAGGAUCAGAGAAAGCCAUCUGUAAAACCAGGAGGGUUUUCAAUGACUUUUCAGCAGCAAAAGAACAAUUAUUAUAUUAUUCUGAGGGCAUUCAAAAUUCUUGAAAAUUGAGAGAACUUGAAAGUGAAUUGAUGCUGUUGUUUUUGCUUUUUAACCAGCAUUUUGAAAUGUUAUGGGAGCCUCAAAAUAAGUUUUAAGAACUGCCACUCUGUUCCCUGAUGUGAAGGGGGCUCCAUGGGGCUUCUACCGUAAUCCGGGUAAGUAAAGAGUGGAUUAAGGCAGUAAUUUGCAGUAGCUAAAAAAAGAACUACAAAGGCACAAGUGCUACCAAUUAUAUCUCAACACAAACCAGUGCCUCCUUAAGCCUCGACGCAGAGAAGGCAAACAAUUUCAUUGUCAAGCAGGGGUUCUCUGGAAAGCCUGGGAGCAUGCGGGGCGCAUUAAAGGGGAGAUAUCUCGCAUGUGCAAUUACUCAACACAUCUUUAAAACUGUAAACACUUGUUCACAUGUGGAGAAGUUUAGAGCUGCGCAGGCUUGGAAAACCCACCUGGCAGGCGGGCUCCCUCCAUCUCUCUCCAGUUGAGUAACAGUUCUCGCCGCCCGCUGUUCCUCCGAGAGCCAAACACAAGUCAGCGGAGAAAUCAUUACGGAGUGGGGGGCAGGAGUUCACGCGCGUUCUAUUUUUAGCCAGAGCGCUCCCUUUUCCCCUCUCCCGAUUGAUCCGCUCGUAUAAACCUUGCCUCCGUUUCUCCCCGCCCCACCUAGCUGCCUCUGGGAGCCUGCGCACUCAGAGGUGCCUUUUGGUUCUGGCCUGCUGCUCUCUCCACCUUUGAUUGGUGAGUGGCACUGAGGAUGCCGACAUGUCCAAGUAAUCUCGGCGGAGGAACUUUGCCCAGCGUUGGUGUUGGAAAGAGAAGGCUGGGUGGCCUCAAAGAAUAGUCCCAUGCGUGGAAAAAUCCUCUCUCCCAACGUGCUCAACAGAAGAAAGUAUAGAAGUCGAGGACACCAGCUUAUAGAGCUGGGAAUGAAACGGAAAUAAAGCAAAGUUUAUUCUCUCCCGUCGGCCCCGGCCUGGCUUACUGGAGAACCACACUCAGAUGUGUGUGAGUCACAUGUCAAACGUGGAAAAAACCCACUAGACCUUCCUGCUUAGUUGGCUGCCCAACGAGAGGGCACGGCUGCUUCUCCUUUCCCGGGGCGGAUCUUACAUGUCUCCAGCAAGGAACCGAUUGUUUUGCUUCUCUGAUUUAACUUGCCAUCGUGAGGCCUCUGGGGAGGGAAGCAAGCCAGUUCCCCGGCCCCUCAGAUCCGCAGGCACACACGCUCUAGGCACCCGAGACAAGCUCAAAGGAGAGGGCGUGUGCUCCAUCCAGAGGGCAGUACACCCAGCCGUGGAAAGAUGGCAAUAAAUCCCUGAGAAAUUAAAAUUUCACUUGAAGUGGAAAUUUGACCAUCACCGAAACUCUGCCAAAUUUUGGAUUUGCGGAUUGGUAAAGAGGUUUCCAAAAUGAAAUGAUGUCUACAGGUUGUUUGUUUUAAAGGACGUAAUAUAUAGUAAAAAUGAAAUAAGCAUCCCACCCGAGUAAGAGUGAUUUCUCUCCCAGCAGACCUUUUCCAGGCUCUAGUAAUUUCGCUGUUAAUGGGCAGAGGGAACGUAAUCAGCUAGGUAAUGGGCACCCCUACCACUGAAGUCAUUUAAUUAGCACCAGUAAAUGAAAGCUGCCCAGGUGCUUGGGCCCAAUUAGCUGUGCCCGAAACAUCUCCCACAUGGGCCAGCAAUUAGAGCCUAGGGUGGGGAGCUGAGCGCCCUCGGAGAAGACUGCCCCAGCAGAGCACCCCCCUUCAACAAGCCAAGCAAUGCCAGAGCCCCCGAAUCCUCAGGAAGCCAUCGCACUUGGAGAGGCAAAGACACAAUUUAUAGAGUCACAUAAUAAUUUUUAAUGAUACAGUAUUUUCCAAGUAAUAAUAGAAGUCUGGGCUCUGAAGUCGUAUCACCUAGGUUUGAAUCCUGGCUAUAUGCUUUGAGCAAGUUACUAAGACCUUUUUGUCUCAGUUUCCUCAUCUGCAAAAUGGGAUAAUAAUAAAAUCUACUUGAGGCCUAAGUGAGUUAAUAUGUAUAAAAUGCUGCUUAGAAGACUUACUGGCACAUACUUUCAUAAGUGUUGUUAUUUUUACCAUAUUUUUUAAUUAUUCUUGUUAUUAUACAUUUAUCUCACUUUAUUUUUAUCUCACCAAUGCAUCGUGGUAGCCCAUUGGUUUACAUAUUGUGUGUGGCUGCUUGGGACCAGCACAGUAGAGUUGAGAGUGCCUAGACUGUUCAGAUUGCAAAGCCUAAAAUAGUCAUUAUCUGGCCCUUUAGUUAGCCUAAAUUAAUAUUCAUAAUAACCUGUCAAGUAGGUUUUGUUUCCAGUUUUCAGAUAAGGAGACCAGGACUCAAAGGAGGUCAAGGAUAUGCCUAAAAUCUCUCCUCUGGAGUCCAGACCCCAUUUGACCCCAACAUCCGCCCCUUCCGGCCAUGCUCUGCUGGGUCCAGGAGCCCAGAGCCUGUUCUCAGUGCCGUGCCCAUCAGCACCCACCAAGGCGAGAGAUGAGCUGGAUACAGCCAGGUGGGCUGCGGCUGAUAAAGGCGCCCUCCUCCUCCAGGGAGGAAACCGUCAUGUGCAGAGUCGGGCCAUUGAGGGCAGUGAUGCUCUGAGUCAGCUUCUCUUCCCCUCCUACACACCAGAAGUUUAUUCCUGGUCCCUGCUGUGGCUGCUUUGUGUUAGGCACGAUGGUGGCAGAAGCAGGUUCCCUGAGAGGUCUGUCCCCUGGCUUGGCCAGGGACGGUUUCGGGCCUGUGAUGAGGCAUCGGCAUUGAGUUACUCCUCAGGGACACGUUGGUAAUAUUCGUUUACCAGAUGAUGUGGUAAUUACCCAGAGAGCUGUCAAAUUUCAAAUGUGUUCAGAAAGUGGAAGUUAUUGCUACCACAUGUUGUGGGUGUUAAGAAGCAUUUUCCUUGUUGGAAAAGUGCCCCGGAUUUCAAAGUCUUUGAAGGUAAGAGAAUCAUCUCAACUCAUCAUAGACAGUUGCCCAUUUAAGGGACACCCGGCCAUCCGGGGUUACAGGUGCACUGGGAAGGUUUCCAGGGCUGGGCUUGGAAGUGGGAAGUUUGCCCUCUAUUAGCUAUGUGGGCUUGCGCAAGCCACGGCCCUUCUCUUCAACGAUAAAAUGAUUCCUAUGAUUCUCAAGUUCUCAUGCGCUAAAGUUAUGUCCCCUUUAUUGCAAGGGAGGCCAUUCUAAGCAGUGUGACAAUUUAGUGAGCAUG
Long non-coding RNA from Equus caballus (horse), 5570 nucleotides. The record is from Ensembl. Lineage: Eukaryota; Metazoa; Chordata; Mammalia; Perissodactyla; Equidae.